RNAcentral lists this ribosomal RNA (230 nucleotides) under uncultured bacterium. RNAcentral describes it as "partial 16S ribosomal RNA". It matches the Rfam family "Bacterial small subunit ribosomal RNA", at positions 118 to 347 of the family's 1533-position model. The record is from RNAcentral.
UGGGAAUCUGCCCAGUAGUGGGGGACAACAGCCGGAAACGGCUGCUAAUACCACAUACGCCCUACGGGGGAAAGGGGGGGAUCUUCGGACCUCUCGCUAUUGGAUGAGCCCGCGUCGGAUUAGCUAGUUGGUAGGGUAAAGGCCUACCAAGGCUACGAUCCGUAACUGGUCUGAGAGGAUGAUCAGUCACACUGGAACUGAGACACGGUCCAGACUCCGUACGGGAGCAG